CUCAUGAAAUAUAGGAAGAAUAAUAUUUUUCUUUAAAAUAAAAUUUAUCGUAAGGCUUAGCAACAAUUGUGUGUAAAUCAUGCUGGUGCAUUUUAUUUUUGAGAUGAGUGAUUUUGACCAAAGUUUGAAAAUAUUUCAAACAGAUUUUAAAAUGGAUUUGAAAUAGGUUUUGAAGUAAAAGAAGAAAAAAAAGAGAAAAGAAAGAAGACCUCACCUCCCCCUGAAUCUCGGCCCAAACUGAGCCAAGGCCUGACCCCCACCCCCUCCUUCCUUCUGAUCCUUGGCAGGCCGGCCCAGCGCGCCAUCCCCUUCCUUCUCCCCCUUUCUUUCUCCUGGCGGCCCAAACUCUCUCCCCUCUUCUCACGCUGACAAGACGGACACACGCGUAAGUGCCUUCUUCCUCCUCGAGCCGUAUGCGACAGGGACUCCCAGAGGGAAAUCGAUCUUGGGUACUCAGGAUUUCUCUUGCCCAAC
Molecule: long non-coding RNA, 474 nt
Filed under: Sorghum bicolor (sorghum)
Lineage: Eukaryota; Viridiplantae; Streptophyta; Magnoliopsida; Poales; Poaceae
Description: long non-coding RNA (SBIC_LNC017366)
Source: RNAcentral